CCGGCGAUGUCCGAAUGGGGAAACCCAGUGCAAUUCGUUGCACUAUCGUUAACUGAAUACAUAGGUUAACGAGGCGAACCGGGGGAACUGAAACAUCUAAGUACCCCGAGGAAAAGAAAUCAACCGAGAUUCCCCCAGUAGCGGCGAGCGAACGGGGAGCAGCCCAGAGUCUGAAUCAGCUUGUGUGUUAGUGGAACGGUCUGGAAAGUCCGACGGUACAGGGUGAUAGUCCCGUACACCAAAAUGCACAGGUUGUGAACUCGAAGAGUAGGGCGGGACACGUGGUAUCCUGUCUGAAUAUGGGGGGACCAUCCUCCAAGGCUAAAUACUCCUGACUGACCGAUAGUGAACCAGUACCGUGAGGGAAAGGCGAAAAGAACCCCGGCGAGGGGAGUGAAAAAGAACCUGAAACCGUGUACGUACAAGCAGUGGGAGCACCUUCGGGUGUGACUGCGUACCUUUUGUAUAAUGGGUCAGCGACUUAUAUUCUGUAGCAAGGUUAACCGUAUAGGGGAGCCGCAGGGAAACCGAGUCUUAACUGGGCGUUAAGUUGCAGGGUAUAGACCCGAAACCCGGUGAUCUAGCCAUGGGCAGGUUGAAGGUUGGGUAACACUAACUGGAGGACCGAACCGACUAAUGUUGAAAAAUUAGCGGAUGACUUGUGGCUGGGGGUGAAAGGCCAAUCAAACCGGGAGAUAGCUGGUUCUCCCCGAAAGCUAUUUAGGUAGCGCCUCGUGAACUCAUCUUCGGGGGUAGAGCACUGUUUCGGCUAGGGGGUCAUCCCGACUUACCAACCCGAUGCAAACUACGAAUACCGAAGAAUGUUAUCACGGGAGACACACGGCGGGUGCUAACGUCCGUCGUGAAGAGGGAAACAACCCAGACCGCCAGCUAAGGUCCCAAAGUCAUGGUUAAGUGGGAAACGAUGUGGGAAGGCACAGACAGCCAGGAUGUUGGCUUAGAAGCAGCCAUCAUUUAAAGAAAGCGUAAUAGCUCACUGGUCGAGUCGGCCUGCGCGGAAGAUGUAACGGGGCUAAACCAUGCACCGAAGCUGCGGCAGCGACACUUAUGUGUUGUUGGGUAGGGGAGCGUUCUGUAAGCCUGCGAAGGUGGCCUGUGAGGGCUGCUGGAGGUAUCAGAAGUGCGAAUGCUGACAUAAGUAACGAUAAAGCGGGUGAAAAGCCCGCUCGCCGGAAGACCAAGGGUUCCUGUCCAACGUUAAUCGGGGCAGGGUGAGUCGACCCCUAAGGCGAGGCCGAAAGGCGUAGUCGAUGGGAAACAGGUUAAUAUUCCUGUACUUGGUGUUACUGCGAAGGGGGGACGGAGAAGGCUAUGUUAGCCGGGCGACGGUUGUCCCGGUUUAAGCAUGUAGGCGGAGGUUCCAGGUAAAUCCGGUACCUUUUAACGCUGAGGUGUGAUGACGAGGCACUACGGUGCUGAAGUAACAAAUGCCCUGCUUCCAGGAAAAGCCUCUAAGCAUCAGGUAACAUUAAAUCGUACCCCAAACCGACACAGGUGGUCAGGUAGAGAAUACCAAGGCGCUUGAGAGAACUCGGGUGAAGGAACUAGGCAAAAUGGUGCCGUAACUUCGGGAGAAGGCACGCUGGUGUGUAGGUGAAGUCCCUGCGGAUGGAGCUGAGACCAGUCGAAGAUACCAGCUGGCUGCAACUGUUUAUUAAAAACACAGCACUGUGCAAACACGAAAGUGGACGUAUACGGUGUGACGCCUGCCCGGUGCCGGAAGGUUAAUUGAUGGGGUUAUCCGUAAGGAGAAGCUCUUGAUCGAAGCCCCGGUAAACGGCGGCCGUAACUAUAACGGUCCUAAGGUAGCGAAAUUCCUUGUCGGGUAAGUUCCGACCUGCACGAAUGGCGUAAUGAUGGCCAGGCUGUCUCCACCCGAGACUCAGUGAAAUUGAACUCGCUGUGAAGAUGCAGUGUACCCGCGGCAAGACGGAAAGACCCCGUGAACCUUUACUAUAGCUUGACACUGAACAUUGAGCCUUGAUGUGUAGGAUAGGUGGGAGGCUUUGAAGCGUGGACGCCAGUCUGCGUGGAGCCAACCUUGAAAUACCACCCUUUAAUGUUUGAUGUUCUAACGUUGGCCCGUAAUCCGGGUUGCGGACAGUGUCUGGUGGGUAGUUUGACUGGGGCGGUCUCCUCCCAAAGAGUAACGGAGGAGCACGAAGGUUAGCUAAUCCUGGUCGGACAUCAGGAGGUUAGUGCAAUGGCAUAAGCUAGCUUGACUGCGAGCGUGACGGCGCGAGCAGGUGCGAAAGCAGGUCAUAGUGAUCCGGUGGUUCUGAAUGGAAGGGCCAUCGCUCAACGGAUAAAAGGUACUCCGGGGAUAACAGGCUGAUACCGCCCAAGAGUUCAUAUCGACGGCGGUGUUUGGCACCUCGAUGUCGGCUCAUCACAUCCUGGGGCUGAAGUAGGUCCCAAGGGUAUGGCUGUUCGCCAUUUAAAGUGGUACGCGAGCUGGGUUUAGAACGUCGUGAGACAGUUCGGUCCCUAUCUGCCGUGGGCGCUGGAGAAUUGAGGGGGGCUGCUCCUAGUACGAGAGGACCGGAGUGGACGCAUCACUGGUGUUCGGGUUGUCAUGCCAAUGGCACUGCCCGGUAGCUAAAUGCGGAAGAGAUAAGUGCUGAAAGCAUCUAAGCACGAAACUUGCCCCGAGAUGAGUUCUCCCUGAGACUAUAAGUCUCCUGAAGGAACGUUGAAGACGACGACGUUGAUAGGCCGGGUGUGUAAGCGCAGCGAUGCGUUGAGCUAACCGGUACUAAUGAACCGUGAGGCUUAACCUUACAACGCCGAAGCUGUU
RNAcentral lists this ribosomal RNA (2818 nucleotides) under Klebsiella variicola. Its description in RNAcentral is "bacterial LSU rRNA". It matches the Rfam family "Bacterial large subunit ribosomal RNA". Lineage: Bacteria; Pseudomonadati; Pseudomonadota; Gammaproteobacteria; Enterobacterales; Enterobacteriaceae. The record is from RNAcentral.